GUGGUGGAUGCCUUGGCAAUUACAGGCGACGAAGGACGUGAUAGCCUGCGAUAAGCUUCGGGGAGCUGGCAAAUUAGCUUUGAUCCGGAGAUUUCCGAAUGGGGAAACCCACCUCGCAAGAGGUAUUGCAUGCUGAAUACAUAGGCAUGCAAGGCGAACCGGGUGAACUGAAACAUCUCAGUAGCUCGAGGAACAGACAUCAACCGAGAUUCCGAAAGUAGUGGCGAGCGAAAAUCGGAGGAGCCUGUACGAUUUAGCAGUCUGCAUAUCAAAACGGGAUGGAAAGCCCGGCAUAGUAGGUGAUAGCCCUGUAUGAGAAAUGCAAUCUGUGGAACUGAGCGUACGACAAGUAGGGCGGGACACGUGUAAUCCUGUCUGAAUAUGGGGGACCGAUCCUCCAAGGCUAAAUACUCGUAAUUGACCG
This 424-nucleotide ribosomal RNA is filed under the name uncultured bacterium. RNAcentral describes it as "bacterial LSU rRNA". It matches the Rfam family "Bacterial large subunit ribosomal RNA", at positions 21 to 486 of the family's 2925-position model. The record is from RNAcentral.